Molecule: ribosomal RNA, 459 nt
Filed under: uncultured bacterium
Lineage: Bacteria
Description: partial 16S ribosomal RNA
Rfam family: Bacterial small subunit ribosomal RNA
Source: RNAcentral
CCUACGGGCGGCGGCAGUGAGGAAUAUUGGUCAAUGGCCGCAGGGCUGAACCAGCCAAGUCGCGUGAGGGAUGACGGUCCUAUGGAUUGUAAACCUCUUUUGUCAGGGAGCAAAGGGCGCCACGUGUGGCGCUUUGCGAGUACCUGAAGAACAAGCAUCGGCUAACUCCGUGCCAGCAGCCGCGGUAAUACGGAGGAUGCGAGCGUUAUCCGGAUUUAUUGGGUUUAAAGGGUGCGCAGGCGGAAUGUCAAGUCAGCGGUAAAAUUUCGGGGCUCAACCCCGUCGUGCCGUUGAAACUGGCGUUCUUGAGUGAGCGAGAAGUAUGCGGAAUGCGUGGUGUAGCGGUGAAAUGCAUAGAUAUCACGCAGAACUCCGAUUGCGAAGGCAGCAUACCGGCGCUCAACUGACGCUCAUGCACGAAAGCGUGGGUAUCGAACAGGAUUAGAUACCCCAGUAGUC